GUUGGGGACGAUGACGGCGGCCCGGCGGCCAUCGACAGCCGUGAGCUGAAGCACCCCGCCGUCCUUGCUGAAGCGGACGCGCUCGACCUUGCCCUUCUUGACGGCAUCGAGGAACUCGCUGUAGCGCCACUGGGAGCCCUCGGGGAGGUCCGAGGACGUCUGCGGCCUGGGGGCCGUGAGGAGGGACUGGGCGAAGGGGUUGUCGGGCUUGGAGGCGGCAUCGAACUGGACGGCGGGCGGCGAAGUGGGAGGCGGGACCGGGGCGACGUCCUCGGCGAUGGCGACCGGGGGGAGGGAGGAAAGGAGGAAGGCGGCGGCCGCGGCAACGGAAGGGGACAGGGUGAGGCGGUUGUCGUUGCUAUUCUUGUUGCGAUCGAGGAGUGAUCGAAUGGAGUUGGUUCGUCUCGGGAGGAGGAGGAGGAGGGUAGGGUUGGGCGUGGAUUUCGGACGGAG
This 453-nucleotide long non-coding RNA is filed under the name Musa acuminata (dwarf banana). RNAcentral describes it as "long non-coding RNA (MACU_LNC001759)". Lineage: Eukaryota; Viridiplantae; Streptophyta; Magnoliopsida; Zingiberales; Musaceae. The record is from RNAcentral.